RNAcentral lists this ribosomal RNA (497 nucleotides) under uncultured bacterium. Its description in RNAcentral is "partial 16S ribosomal RNA". It matches the Rfam family "Bacterial small subunit ribosomal RNA", at positions 28 to 507 of the family's 1533-position model. The record is from RNAcentral.
GAUGAACGCUGGCGGCGUGCCUAAUACAUGCAAGUCGAGCGAACAGAUGAGGAGCUUGCUCCUCUGACGUUAGCGGCGGACGGGUGAGUAACACGUGGAUAACCUACCUAUAUGACUGGGAUAACUUCGGGAAACCGGAGCUACUACCGGAACAUAUAUUGAACCGCAUGGUUCAAUAGUGAAAGACGGUUUUGCUGUCACUUAUAGAUGGAUCCGCGCCGCAUUAGCUAGUUGGUAAGGUAACGGCUUACCAAGGCAACGAUGCGUAGCCGACCUGAGAGGGUGAUCGCCGACACGGGAACUGAGACGCGGUCCAGGCUCCUGCGGGAGGCAGCAGUAGGGAAUGUUCCGCAAUGGGCGAAAGCAUGACGGAGCAACGGCGCGUGAGUGAUGAAGGUCUUCGGAUCGUAAAACUCUGUUAUUGGGGAAGAACAAAUGUGAAAGUAACUAUGCACGUCUUGACGGUACCUGAUCAGAAAGCCACGGCUAACUACGUG